This 517-nucleotide ribosomal RNA is filed under the name uncultured bacterium. RNAcentral's name for it is "bacterial SSU rRNA". It matches the Rfam family "Bacterial small subunit ribosomal RNA", at positions 8 to 518 of the family's 1533-position model. The record is from RNAcentral.
AGGGUUCGAUUCUGGCUCAGGAUGAACGCUAGCGGCAGGCUUAACACAUGCAAGUCGAGGGGUAACAGGGAGUAGCAAUACUCUGCUGACGACCGGCGCACGGGUGCGUAACGCGUAUGCAACCUACCUGUAACAGGGGUAUAACGGAGGGAAACUUCCACUAAUCCCCCAUAUUCUUGCGGAUUCGCAUGUUUCUGCAAGGAAAGCUUUGGUGGUUACGGAUGGGCAUGCGUGACAUUAGGUAGUUGGCGGGGCAACGGCCCACCAAGCCGACGAUGUCUAGGGGAGCUGAGAGGCUUAUCCCCCACACUGGUACUGAGACACGGACCAGACUCCUACGGGAGGCAGCAGUGAGGAAUAUUGGUCAAUGGAGGAAACUCUGAACCAGCCAUGCCGCGUGGGGGAAGAAGGUCCUAUGGGUUGUAAACCCCUUUUGUUCCAGAGUAAUAAGGGCUUUGCGAAGCCUGAUGAGAGUAUGGGACGAAUAAGCAUCGGCUAACUCCGUGCCAGCCGCUGC